GAUGAAGAACGCAGCGAAAUGCGAUAAGUAAUGCGAAUUGCAGAAUCCGUGAAUCAUCGAAUCUUUGAACGCACAUUGCGCCUCCUGGUAUUCCGGGAGGCAUGCCUGUCCGAGCGUCAUGCAAAAACAUAAGCCCCUGAAGAGAGGCUUGCUUCUGAGGGAUGAGCCUCGUCGCUCCCCCUCGAAUUUCAGAGGCGAGGUGCAACGAAUGAAGACAGGUGAAGGGGUAGGUAGUAGUAAAGAAAUUUUCUCUCGACCAAAUCUCCUUGGCCAGUUCUUUGUUGACACUUCAGCCGAUUUAACAACCCACUUCUGUUUUUGACCUCGGAUCAGGUAGGGAUACCCGCUGAACUUAAGCAUAUCAAUAAGCGGAGGA
Molecule: unclassified non-coding RNA, 376 nt
Filed under: soil metagenome
Description: partial contains 5.8S ribosomal RNA, internal transcribed spacer 2, and large subunit ribosomal RNA
Rfam family: 5.8S ribosomal RNA (bases 1-119)
Source: RNAcentral